Molecule: long non-coding RNA, 382 nt
Organism: Syngnathus acus (greater pipefish)
Lineage: Eukaryota; Metazoa; Chordata; Actinopteri; Syngnathiformes; Syngnathidae
Exons: 4
Source: RefSeq, a predicted model, not a curated record
CGGCAUUGGCAGAGCUGAAGGCGAGUCACACCGCGAUUUCCAGCGACCUGGAGAAGAGUCAGACAGCAUUGGCAGAGCUGAAGGCAGGUCAGACGGCAUUGGCAGAGCUGAAGGCAGGUCAGGAGGCAGGUCAGACCGCAUUGGCAGAGAUGAAGGCAAGUCAGGAGGCAGGUCAGACCGCAUUGGCAGAGCUGAAGGCAGGUCAGACGGCAUUGGCAGAGCUGAAGGCAGGUCAGGAGGCAGGUCAGACCGCAUUGGCAGAGCUGAAGGCAAGUCACACCGCGAUUUCCAGCGACCUGGAGAAGAGUCAGACGGCAUUGGCAGAGCUGAAGGCAGGUCAGACGGCAUUGGCAGAGCUGAAGGCAGGUCAGGAGGCAGGUCA